AGCUUUGUGCAGUGGCAGUAUUGUAGCCAAUGAGGUUUAUCUGAGGCAUGAUUAUUGCUAAUGAAAAUUUUUUUCCAAUACACUGCCAUGAUGACUUGAAAUUUAGUCGACUUUGGCAAUUUUUGACAGUCUCUAUGGAC
This 140-nucleotide small nuclear RNA is filed under the name Dasypus novemcinctus (nine-banded armadillo). RNAcentral's name for it is "U4 spliceosomal RNA (ENSDNOG00000047416.1)". It matches the Rfam family "U4 spliceosomal RNA". From Rfam's summary of the family: U4 small nuclear RNA (U4 snRNA) is a component of the major U2-dependent spliceosome. The record is from RNAcentral. Lineage: Eukaryota; Metazoa; Chordata; Mammalia; Cingulata; Dasypodidae.